RNAcentral lists this transfer RNA (85 nucleotides) under bovine gut metagenome. RNAcentral's name for it is "Selenocysteine transfer RNA". The stretch from base 2 to 77 matches the Rfam family "Selenocysteine transfer RNA", at positions 10 to 82 of the family's 91-position model. The record is from RNAcentral.
UAUGGGUGCUGGUGUGCCCUGCGGUCUUCAAAACCGUUUUGAGGCGUUAAAAGCGUCUUAGGUGGGUUCGAUUCCCACAUAGUCC